GGGGCGAUAGUUCAGUUGGGAGAACGCUACAUUCGCAUUGUAGAGGUCGCGGGUUCAAAUCCCGCUCGCUCCACCA
RNAcentral lists this transfer RNA (76 nucleotides) under Omnitrophica WOR_2 bacterium SM23_72. Its description in RNAcentral is "tRNA-Ala". It matches the Rfam family "tRNA". Rfam says of the family: Transfer RNA (tRNA) molecules are approximately 80 nucleotides in length. Lineage: Bacteria; Pseudomonadati; Candidatus Omnitrophota. The record is from RNAcentral. RNAcentral also lists the same sequence under 4 other names.